RNAcentral lists this transfer RNA (75 nucleotides) under Oscillatoria sp. SIO1A7. RNAcentral describes it as "tRNA-Leu". It matches the Rfam family "tRNA". Rfam says of the family: Transfer RNA (tRNA) molecules are approximately 80 nucleotides in length. Their secondary structure includes four short double-helical elements and three loops (D, anti-codon, and T loops). The record is from RNAcentral. Lineage: Bacteria; Bacillati; Cyanobacteriota; Cyanophyceae; Oscillatoriales; Oscillatoriaceae.
GCCCCUGUAGCCCAAUAGGAACGAGGCGCCAAACUUAGAAUUUGGAGGUUGCAGGUUCAAGUCCUGCCAGGGGUA